This 442-nucleotide ribosomal RNA is filed under the name uncultured bacterium. Its description in RNAcentral is "partial 16S ribosomal RNA". It matches the Rfam family "Bacterial small subunit ribosomal RNA", at positions 338 to 795 of the family's 1533-position model. The record is from RNAcentral.
UCUACGGGUGGCAGCAGUGGGGAAUAUUGGGCAAUGGGCGCAAGCCUGACCCAGCAACGCCGCGUGAAGGAAGAAGGCUUUCGGGUUGUAAACUUCUUUUGUCAGGGAAGAGUAGCAGAGGGUAUCUGAGGAAUCAGCCACGGCUAACUACGUGCCAGCAGCCGGAGUAAUAUGGAGGUGGCAAGCGUUGUACGGAUUUACUGGGUGUAAAGGGCGUGUAGCCGGGUUGACAAGUCAGAUGUGAAAUCCUGCGGCUUAACCGCAGAACUGCAUUUGAAACUGUUGAUCUUGAGUACGGGAGAGGCAGACGGAAUUCCUAGUGUAGCGGUGAAAUGCGUAGAUAUUAGGAGGAACACCAGUGGCGAAGGCGGUCUGCUGGACAGCAACUGACGGUGAGGCGCGAAAGCGUGGGGAGCAAACAGGAUUAGAUACCCCAGUAGUC